CAGUAGGGAAUCUUCCACAAUGGACGCAAGUCUGAUGGAGCAACGCCGCGUGAGUGAAGAAGAUCUUCGGAUCGUAAAACUCUGUUGUUAGAGAAGAACACGAGUGAGAGUAACUGUUCAUUCGAUGACGGUAUCUAACCAGCAAGUCACGGCUAACUACGUGCCAG
Molecule: ribosomal RNA, 167 nt
Filed under: uncultured bacterium
Lineage: Bacteria
Description: partial 16S rRNA
Rfam family: Bacterial small subunit ribosomal RNA
Source: RNAcentral